CACACCAUGGAAGCUAGCUGUAUCGGAAGUCGGUGGGCCAACCCGAGCAAUCGGGGAGGCAGCCGCCCAUGGUAUGGCUGGUGACUGGGGUG
Molecule: ribosomal RNA, 92 nt
Filed under: uncultured bacterium
Lineage: Bacteria
Description: partial 16S ribosomal RNA
Source: RNAcentral